This 213-nucleotide ribosomal RNA is filed under the name Sabatieria mortenseni. Its description in RNAcentral is "partial 18S ribosomal RNA". It matches the Rfam family "Eukaryotic small subunit ribosomal RNA", at positions 94 to 306 of the family's 1831-position model. Lineage: Eukaryota; Metazoa; Nematoda; Chromadorea; Araeolaimida; Comesomatidae. The record is from RNAcentral.
UGGCUCAUUACAACAGCCGUCGUUUCUUGGAUCUCUUCUUUUACUUGGAUAACUGUGGUAAUUCUAGAGCUAAUACACGCACUAAAGCUCUGACCUUACGGGACGAGCGCAUUUAUUAGAACAAAACCAAUCGGGUUUCGGCCCGUCUGUUGGUGACUCUGAAUAACUCUGCCGAUCGCACGGUCUCGCACCGGCGACGUAUCUUUCAAGUGU